GACGAACCGUGCGAACGUUGUUCGGAAUUACUGGGCGUAAAGGGCGCGUAGGCGGCCAUCUAAGUCAGACGUGAAAUCCCCCGGCUUAACCUGGGAACUGCGUCUGAUACUGGAAGGCUUGAGUAUGGGAGAGGGAUGUAGAAUUCCAGGUGUAGCGGUGAAAUGCGUAGAUAUCUGGAGGAAUACCGGUGGCGAAGGCGGCAUCCUGGACCAUUACUGACGCUGAGGCGCGAAAGCUAGGGGAGCAAACGGG
Molecule: ribosomal RNA, 253 nt
Filed under: uncultured bacterium
Lineage: Bacteria
Description: partial 16S ribosomal RNA
Rfam family: Bacterial small subunit ribosomal RNA
Source: RNAcentral